AUGCGGCGGGCGAGCUGGAUGUCCUUGGGCAUGAUGGUGACGCGCUUGGCGUGGAUGGCGCAGAGGUUGGUGUCCUCGAACAUCCCCACCAGGUACGCCUCGGCGGCCUCCUGCAGCGCGGAGACGGCGGAGGACUGGAAGCGGAGGUCGGUCUUGAAGUCCUGGGCGAUCUCCCGGACGAGGCGCUGGAAGGGGAGCUUGCGGAUGAGCAGCUCCGUGCUCUUCUGGUACUUGCGGAUCUCCCGGAGGGCGACGGUGCCGGGGCGGAAACGGUGGGGCUUCUUGACGCCGCCGGUGGCUGGGGCGGACUUGCGCGCCGCCUUGGUCGCCAGCUGCUUCCUCGGCGCCUUGCCGCCGGUGGACUUGCGCGCCGUCUGCUUCGUGCGGGCCAUCUGCGCGGGUGGGAUGGGCGAGCGGUAG
RNAcentral lists this ribosomal RNA (420 nucleotides) under Triticum aestivum (bread wheat). Its description in RNAcentral is "partial small subunit ribosomal RNA". The record is from RNAcentral. Lineage: Eukaryota; Viridiplantae; Streptophyta; Magnoliopsida; Poales; Poaceae.